AAAUCUUCAAAUUUGUUUCUUUAUCUUCAAAACAAAACCCAUAAAUUAAAAAGAAUUCUCAAAACUUAUAAGUUUCUUCAAAUCUGCUUAAAGAAUUCUCAAAACUUAUAUGAAAUUCACACCUAGAAUGUCUGAUUAAUCUCUUACAAUCUCAGAUUAUCCUCCUGAAAUCUAUUUCGAUGGAAACCCAAAACCCUAGUUCGAAAAGCUCACUGCUGCAAAAAAUAAAAACCCACCGCGGGGGUUUCUUCUGAUCGUGGGAAGGGCGGGGUCAUGUCAAUUAUAUCCCUGGUUGAAGAUCGAGGGAGCAUGGGUUCCUAGGAAUACCCGAAAAAACCAUAAUUAAGAAGAUUUCAAGCCUCCGGCGGACUGCCGUGUCGGAUGGAUGAAAAAGACCAAACACUAAUCAACAACCUUGUCACCAUCCGCAUUUUCUAGCUACCAUAAACGACGGCGCGUCAACUAAAUAUAUAUUUCGUACAUAUAUCUAAUGAAUGAAAGGGUAUAUAAACCGCAUAAAGUGGAUGUAACAGAUGCUGUUUGGAGCGUCUUUAUUGUUCAAGGUUUGUAGUUUUCGAAUAAUUUGAUGCCCAAGGGUUUUUUAUUUUUAAUGUUAUUUAGUGGGUAUAUCAUGGUUAGAUAUACGUAUAUAUAUUAGUAGUGUUUAAUAUCAUUUUCUUUUGGUGAUUGAUUAUUGGGGAAGAUGUUGGAAUUGAACUUGUGUAGAUCUAGAAAAAGAUGACAAAAAAUAAAAGUUUGACUGAUUUAUGGGUUUUGAGAAUUCUUUUUAAGUUAUGGGUUUUGUUUUGAAGAUAAAGAAGCAGAUUCAAAUCUAGGUAGGAGAGAGAAGUAGAUUUGAAGAUUUAGGUAGGAGAGAGAAACAGGUAUGAAGAUAUUGGUGAACCAUGUACAAGAGAAAAAAGUUUGCGGGAGAAACUCAUGGAUAAAAAAGUAUCAUAGGCAACCGUGUACAAAUGGAAAACUACGUUAGUCUUCCCCUUCGUCACUAGUCAUUCACUCUCGACCUACCAAUCUGAGAUCAGAUCUGUUGCAUCAUUAGCUAACCACUCCGAGAGAAGACUUAAGAAGUGCAAAUACUUGUCCGUCUUUAAAUAAUCGGAGGAGGAGGACGUGGAUUGAGGUAGAAUUGGGCGACACCAAUCCGGGUAGUAGGAGGCGGUCGUUGUUCGAGCGAGAAUAAGUGAUUGAUUAGAUACCGGCGAACAAGAAGAAGAAGAACGAGGCUGACAAUGAAGAUGAACAUGUGAAGGAGGUUGAAGCUAAAUGGAUCGGAUGGGCGGGUGUAAAUGUGCCAGAUGAGCCUGGGCAGAGGGCGUUGACCAAAGCAUUGGCAGAAAAGGUAUUGUUUUUUAUAUCCUUCAGGAUUAAAAACUGGAAUUAAGGGUAUUGGUUAGGAUUAGUUAAUAUCGUUGCAGAGGUGUUUUCUUGAUGAAGAAAUUGUGCAUCAAUAUUAUUAAGGCUGUUGUAACAACAUAUCAUGGCCCCUUUUCCAUCAUGUUGGUCGUCCACAAGAAGACCGUUUGGCAACAACUAGAAGUUUCCAAUCUCAAUUCGCAGCAUAUAAGAAAGCAAAUCAAAUGUUUGCUGAUAAGGUGAACGAGCAUUAUGAAGAAGGUGAUGCUGAAUGAUCACAACAGCAACAUGAAAGUUGGUUGGUUUCUUCAUACACCCUUCCCGUCUUCUGAAAUCCAUAGGACAUUGCCUUCUUGUUCUGAGCUUCUACGAGCGGUUUUUGCUGCUGAUUUGGUUUGGCUUCCAUACAUAUAGCUAUGCAAGGCACUUUUUUAGUGCUUGUACCCAUAUCCUUGGACUCGAAGGUACUCCUAAAGGGGUUGAGGAUCAAGGGAGAUUGACUCAAGUUGCUGCGUGAGUUAAAUGAUACUGUAGUUGAAGCGUAACAAAGUAUAAGACCAGUUCCACCAUCACUUCCUGUUGAAGAGACUAUAGAGCGUUAUUUGCAGUCAAGUAACCGAUUAAUCAUACUGAACUUUGGAGAGUUGAACAUGUGGCUGGCUGCUGAAAUGGAAUGUUUCUACGGUCCAUUAAACGAACCUGGAUGACAACUAUGCCCGAGCAUUCAAACAUGGAGUGGGUCGAUAGCGUGAAGCAUGUCUUUGAGUAUUUCAGUGAAAGAACACCUCGAUCACAUUUUGAGCUUCGUGAAACUUCAUUGGUAUGGAAUUACAAAUAUGCAGAUGUUAAAUUCGGGAGGCUUCAAGCCAGAGUCAUGCUGCAGCAUAUGUGGACAGGCCCGAUGUCUAAUGUGUUUGUAGAUGUAGUACAAGGUAGCCGCUCUGUUGAGGUUUAAGUGGCUGGUGUAACUAUGGUGAAUCUGCCACUUUGUCAUGACCAUAUGGCUAUGAGUUUAUAUACAUUAUAAAGAUUAGUAAUAUCAGGAUCCACAUUGACUUAUAGAGGCGACAAAAUGGGCAGGUUGGGUAAUGGAUCAAAGUAGGCAGUUUUUGGUAUAGAAUGGCUCAUGGUUACCACAAACAUUGUUUUUUGUUCAAUCUUUCUGAAGUUUUGGUAUGUGGUGUCAGGUUUGAUUAUGAUUUCAAUAACAAUCUAAUUUUCUAAA
This is a long non-coding RNA of Erigeron canadensis, 2599 nucleotides long. RefSeq lists it as uncharacterized. The record is from RefSeq and is a predicted model, not a curated record. Lineage: Eukaryota; Viridiplantae; Streptophyta; Magnoliopsida; Asterales; Asteraceae. The transcript has 7 exons.